Molecule: long non-coding RNA, 5016 nt
Filed under: Salmo salar (Atlantic salmon)
Lineage: Eukaryota; Metazoa; Chordata; Actinopteri; Salmoniformes; Salmonidae
Description: lncRNA (ENSSSAG00000095435.1, ENSSSAG00000098265.1)
Source: RNAcentral
GUUGGGUUAAAUGACUCCCGCACCUCUCUGAUUCAGAGGGGUUGGGUUAAAUGACUCCCGCACCUCUCUGAUUCAGAGGGGUUGGGUUAAAUGACUCCCGCACCUCUCUGAUUCAGAGGGGUUGGGUUAAAUGACUCCCGCACCUCUCUGAUUCAGAGGAGUUGGGUUAAAUGACUCCCGCACCUCUCUGAUUCAGAGGGGUUGGGUUAAAUGACUCCCGCACCUCUCUGAUUCAGAGGGGUUGGGUUAAAUGACUCCCGCACCGCUCUGAUUCAGAGGCGUUGGGUUAAAAGCGGAAGACACAUUUCGGUUGAGUGAAUUGUUGGGCAAAUGACUAGUUACCCCCUUUCCUUCCUGUUAGUAGAGGGGGGAAAACCUGAGUAUUACAAUCAAACCUGCUCUUGUCAUAAAUAAAAGUGCACAUUGUUUUGGUUGAAGAAACAAGAGGCCUAAUCCUGGAGUCAUAUUUCUGCAGUUUCUAACGUUCUGUCCAACACCGCUGAGCUACGAGUGCAUGUGGUUAAAACUGUCAGACGCAUGCAAACGCUCUGGGCCCAUAUUAACAAAGCGUGAGUAGGAGUGCUAGUCUAGGAUCCGGUCCCCCCUCUAAUUCAUAAUGGUUUAAAAGGUCUGGUCCCCCCUCCUAAUUCAUAAUGGUUUAAAAGGUCUGGUCCCCCCUCCUAAUUCAUAAUGGUUUAAAAGGUCUGGUCCCCCCUCCUAAUUCAUAAUGGUUUAAAAGGUCUGGUCCCCCCUCUAAUUCAUAAUGGUUUAAAAGGUCUGGUCCCCCCUCUAAUUCAUAAUGGUUUAAAAGGUCUGGUCCCCCCUCUAAUUCAUAAUGGUUUAAAAGGUCUGGUCCCCCCUCUAAUUCAUAAUGGUUUAAAAGGUCUGGUCCCCCCUCUAAUUCAUAAUGGUUUAAAAGGUCUGGUCCCCCCUCCUAAUUCAUAAUGGUUUUAAAGGUCUGGUCCCCCCUCCUAAUUCAUAAUGGUUUAAAAGGCUAAACUGAUCUCAGAUCAGUACUCUGACACUGUGGAUAAGGGCCCUGUGCUCCUUUCAGCUCCUGCGUGUCCAGUUUGUCAUUAGGCCAAUAUUUAAUACCGAUAUACUACCAUGGUGUAGCUAUGACGACUUCACUAUGCAAAGCAAUGAGUUUAUUACUUUUGUUUUUGUUACUGCUGGUCACUCUUCCUCAACUGCUCCCUCCAAAAAAUGUCUUGCUCUCUCCAUCACAGAAGAAUAAGCUUCUCAACAUAUCAAUGUAUGGCUGCUAAACUCAACUGCUCACAUAAUUGAUUUGUGAAACUGGAAACAACCUGUAGAACUUACUCUGGCUGUCAUAACGUGAAGACAUCCUGUACUAGUCUGUGCUCUGUUUGAAAUAGAACCGCUUUAAAACGACUGCAGUGUAAAUGCCUAUAAUACAUUAGGUCUACCUGAACACAUUUUAAACGUUCUGCAAAAGUCUAAUGAAAUAAAUGAAUGGAAAUCUGUUUGUUGCUUUUCACUUUAUUUUUUCAUGAUAAAGUUAGAAUAAAAACAUCUUAUCAGCCUGAUAAGUCUCUUCCACAAAGUGAGACUCGAUCAUAAAUAAUAAACUUGUUUUGUAAUAAGUUAAGGUACUGUAUAUUCAUACAUUUAUGGAUAUUUAAGUCAUUUAUCUCUUAUCAAAGAGCUAAUCUCGGGGUAACCCAGAACUGAAGUCUGCUCGAUUAAAUUCUAGGUCCAUGAGAUGCUAGAACGAGGAGCUCCAUCCUCUCUGCAAGUUAUGGGCUGAAUGACUGCCCUUCCAAAAUUUGAAAAAAAUGCUAACACCUCGGAAGUUGUGAUUUGUCCAAAUAACCAGUGAUGGAAAAAACUAGGCACCAGAACUAUAGCUGCUCGUUAUCUAUCAGUGCUCAGAAUAGAAAGAUCUAUUGCACCAUUUUAUGUUUACAUAUUCUGCCUAUGAGAGAUUAUCAAAGAACAGGUUAUAAUGUGCUACAAAAAUACUGCAUAUAAUAGCUUUUCAAUAUAGCUUUUUCAGUAUAGAGACAGUCAUUAGAUGACAAAUCUAUACUCGCAAGGCCACAAUCAGACCAAAUACACAUAAUAUACAAAGUGUAUAAAACAUUAGGAAUAGCUGCUCUUUCCAUGACAGACUGACUAGGUGAAUGCUGUGAUCCCUUAUUGAUGUCACCUGUUAAAUCCAAAACCCACUUCACGUGGAGGAGACUGGUUAAAGAAGGAUUUUUAAGCCUUGAGACAAUUGAGGGAAGAAGAUAUUUACGCCGGUGUGGCCAUGAGGUGAGUGUGUAAGAUGGUGGACGGGGGGAAAAAUGUGAAAAGUGGAACAUGUUUUCAGUGAAUAUGGAGUGGUGGAUCACAGAACUUUUGGAAGAGCUAUAGAAGAAACUUGAACGUGACAUGAGAGUGAGGAUGAAUUAACCUCAAUGGCAGGUGCCGUGAAGACCGAGUUUGAGCCUUGUCCUGAUGAUUCUGACCCAGUGGGAGUGUGAAUUUUGGAGACUGGAUCCUUGCCUUCUGGCUGAUCCAUAUGUUGUGUCAGGUUGAGUAAUGUUGGGUCGGUAAAAGUGACUAAUUGGCCCGCUUGCAUUUCUGCAAGAGGGCGUGUGCGCUCCGCACCACACCAAUGGGAACAACAACACUGGCUUGGCCUGAAGUUGAAGAUUCCCGGUGUCUGUGACGCCCAACGUUUGGUGCGAUGCGGACCCAGUGGAGAGCGUGGUGAAACAGAAUACCCUGUCUGUACUAUGAGUUUUGAUGCAGAGUCUUUAACAGAUAAAGUCAAGUUAGGAUGUGUCGAGGAGGGAGGGGUGCAACUCAAUAUUUUGAAGGCGUUCCUAAUGUUUUGUACACUGUAUAUUAUAUUAUUACAACCAGGCAUCAGCUAAUUACAGCUUUUCAAAUAAAAUCUCACUUGUUAGGUUUCUAUCCAACUGGCGACAGAUUUUCAUGUGAAAAUUUUACAAUCCGUAUAAAAAAUAAGUGAGUGAUGACGUAGUGCACACAAAACGUACUGAAUAAAAAUCACAAACUAUUGUGUUAGAUAGGAAAUGUGCCUACUCUGGUCUUGGCACCUGUGACCUAGUCCACAUCUCCUAUAUACAUUGUGGGUAGGCUGUGCAGGUUGGCUAUCUACAUGAGAUUAUUAUGGAUCAGAGACAGAGUUUUUGGAUUUGUCAAACGGCAGUCACGCAUCGAUCCCCAUGUCACCAGAUUAAGAUCCUCGAUAUUUAUUGGAAAGCAGCAUCAAGCUUAUCAUCGUGCACUUCAUAACUUAUUUCAUCUGUAGCCUAAUGAACUGUGUGGUUUCCUGAGUUGUAGUGUCACACACUAUAUCAUCGCGUGACUCCAAAUGUACUUUGAUAUGGUUAUUAUAUCAAUAUUUGAUAAAGACAUUUCCACUACUAUUUACCACAUAAUACAUUUUACUGACACAAAAUCCCACCAUGCAGAACCAACAAAUUAUCUGUCAGCAUUUACAAAAUUACACCGAAACCUGUUUCCAUCACAGCUGUCGUGAUAAUUGUAUUUCAUACGAUAUGACUUCACUCAAAUAAAACUGGACGGAAAUGUGGUUACUAUGGUAAUAUUGCUACGUUUCACUUUAACCAUGCUAACAAUUUAAAAUGUCAGCUUAAAAUGGUGACAAAUGUUUCCCUACAAUCAGUGUCGUUAGGCAUAAAAUCAGCAUUUUUUUUAUGUAUUAAUUGCAUGGUGAUUCACAUUUUCGAUCAUUUAAAAACUACUACAUGAUAAAGUACAGUCAACAACAGGCACUUGGCCCUACAAACAUUGAUUAAUUCAAGACCACUUCACAUAAUGGCACUUUACCCUCAAGCCAUGUCCUGUCCACACACACACACACACACACACACAUCACCUGGAAACAAGUUACAUAUGGUGUACCCUGGUCCCAGAUCUGUUUGUGCGGUCUUGCCAACUCCUACGAUCGAUGUUUAGCUUGACAGUGACCAUAGGAGUUGGCAAGACAGCAUAAACAGAUCUGGGAUCAGGCUACAUAUGGAAUGAACAGAGAUAGAAUGUGACAUUGGUUGAACAAGUGAUCCUCAUCCAACUACAAUAUGUUGUACUAAGUGGCAUGGUCUUAUAUAGGCACAGAGAUACUGCUAUGGUUUGGACCAAAGAGUUGAGUUCCAUUUAAAUUGUGGUAAACUAAUCCAUCUGUUCCCAGAGUGGAUUCUAGGCUUUCCCAACAACCGUUUCAUUUUGGGGGAAGAGUUUUUUGGACAGAAAUGCCUGAAUGUGAGGCCAGAUCUUGUUGGUUUCCGUUCCUGAGAAUGUCUCCAACAUCCCUUUGCUCCUGUUGGUAGAAACAGAUAUUAGUACCUCAUGACAGUCAUCAUAAUAAACAUAAGCAGUAGUUUUUAAAUGGGUAGGUACUCCCUGAUUGUCUCCAGUAACAACACAUAUUUCCGCAUUCCAUUGCAAAAUGUUUUGCUACAGUCUGGUCUACUGAAUACAACCUAGUACUCAACUACAUAAUGCUUUCAAGGUUACCAACAUAGAUUCACUUUCUAACAAAGGGAAAGAUGUGAAUGAAUUCACUGUCUGAUCUGUCUGAGCCUGAAUCCUGCGUUACAGUCCCAAGCUAUUUCAGUUCUCAGACCGGCCCCUGUAGUAGGGUUAAUUCAGAGUUCUCUUCCCGUUGUCCAGUUACCAGUGAAAAAGAGCCCCAGAAGCCAUCUUAUAAAUAACUUGGAUGCUUUUAACAUCCUAUGUACACAGGAGCUCUUGACUAAUGUUUUCCUUCUUUAAUUGGCCACAGAAAUAGAUGUGAUAUGAAUCAAUCCUGACAUUCAGUCAUGCACAAUGUCUAAUUGAGAUUAAUGUCCAUUUGUUAUGUCCCAACUUUGAAAGGGCAGAUAUAAGCCUUAAAGCCUAUGAUGUAAGAAGAUAAACUGCAACAUUAUUACACAGUUACAGCUUACAUAAUAAUGAAUAUAAAAGGUAUAUAUGUGUGUGUGUGUGUGUGUGUGUGUGUGUGUGUGUGUGUGU